GAUGAACGCUGGCGGCGUGCCUAAUACAUGCAAGUCGAGCGAACAGAUGAGGAGCUUGCUCCUCUGACGUUAGCGGCGAACGGGUGGGUAACACGUGGAUAACCUACCUAUAAGACUGGGAUAACUUCGGGAAACCGGAGCUAAUACCGGAUAAUAUAUUGAACCGCAUGGUUCAAUAGUGAAAGACGGUUUUGCUGUCACUUAUAGAUGGAUCCGCGCCGCAUUAGCUAGUUGGUAAGGUAACGGCUUACCAAGGCAACGAUGCGUAGCCGACCUGAGAGGGUGAUCGGCCACACUGGAACUGAGACACGGUCCAGACUCCUACGGGAGGCAGCAGUAGGGAAUCUUCCGCAAUGGGCGAAAGCCUGACGGAGCAACGCCGCGUGAGUGAUGAAGGUCUUCGGAUCGUAAAACUCUGUUAGUAGGGAAGAACAAAUGUGUAAGUAACUAUGCACGUCUUGACGGUACCUAAUCAGAAAGCCACGGCUAACUACGUG
This 497-nucleotide ribosomal RNA is filed under the name uncultured bacterium. RNAcentral's name for it is "partial 16S ribosomal RNA". It matches the Rfam family "Bacterial small subunit ribosomal RNA", at positions 28 to 507 of the family's 1533-position model. The record is from RNAcentral.